Molecule: non-coding RNA, 3030 nt
Organism: Doryrhamphus excisus (bluestripe pipefish)
Lineage: Eukaryota; Metazoa; Chordata; Actinopteri; Syngnathiformes; Syngnathidae
Source: RefSeq, a predicted model, not a curated record
AGGCGGAGAAGGAGGAGAAAUGGCGGCAAGGGUUGAAAGUCCGAAGGUGAAUAUCCUUCAAACUAUUGAUUAUUUUGGCCACGUCCACCCCCCGCUGGAUGAAUUCGGAUGGCUUUUAUUGACGACUUGGAGGCCGCCGAGAGACGCUGCUUUUGCGGGAGGACCAAACGGUCGUGCUGCACUUUUCGAAUCAUGUUUGUGCUUUUCGUUGGCGUUUAUCUGGCGUUGUUGCCGCUCUACUCCACCACCACCACAACCACCACAACCAGCCGGAAUGACAACCCCAUCAUCGGUAUCCUGGCACAGGACCUUUUCACACCGGUAGAGAAUCAAACGUCUUAUAUUGCUGCCUCUUAUGUCAAGUUCCUGGAGUCAGCGGGUGCCAGGGUGGUCCCUAUUAUGAUCAACCAGACUGAUGAGGAAUAUAGGAGACUAUUCAACUCAAUUAACGGUGUUCUUUACCCUGGAGGAGCGGCCAGCAUCUUCUCAUCAGGCUACCAAAGGAGUGCAAAGUUCUUCUACGAGAUGGCCAUUGAGGCCAAUCAGAGAGGAGAUUACUUCCCUAUUUGGGGCACCUGCCUGGGGUUCGAGCAGCUGCUGUUGCUGACCAAUGGUGUUUCACUGCUGACGGAGACGGACACAAGGGGCGUGUCCUUGCCUCUCAGCUUCACUCAAGAGGCCAAAGACAGCAGAAUGUUCCAAGGUUUCCCGGCUGAACUCAUGGACGCUUUGGCGUUGGAGCCUCUGACCGAGAACUCCCACCGCUGGAGUUUGGCUGUGGAGGCGUUCAACGCAACCCAAGCACUGAAGACGUUUUAUAAAGUUCUCUCCACAAACACAGACGGAAAAACAGAUUUUUUGUCCACAAUUGAAGCGUUCCACUACCCAAUUUACGGCACCCAGUGGCACCCGGAGAAGAACGCAUUCGAGUGGAGGAAGCCGUACAUCGCUCACAGCCCCUCUGCCGUCCAGGUCACCUUCUUCAUGGCCGAGUUCUUUGUGGGAGAAGCGCCAGUCCUGCUGCUCGGGGGCUCGUCCAUCAUGCCGCACGUGAACGGAUCAGCGUAUUCCACAGUGUCACUCGUACUCCAGAGACAGAAGAUGAUGAGCGAUGGGAGGAGAUCCUCGGCUGCUCCGGAGGCAGUCUCAAGUCCAGCAUGCUGCGGUUGCAUAAUCUUGAGGACACCAUUCUUGUGCUUGGACAUGUUGACGGACUGACCGGGUCUGGGUGGGUUUUUGUACGAGGCGGGGUGUGCGGGUGCAUCGGUCAAGCUAACCUUCGUCUUCAUUCUCUUCAUCUACCUCGUCCGGGAGCCGCUCCGGGAGCCUGAAGCAUUCCUCAAAGAAGUUGACCAGCGACUGGCUGAGGUGCUGCUUGGUGCCCUCGUUGUGGAUGAAGUGGCCUUCGUCCGGGUAGAUCUGGCACGGCGACAACAGACUCUUAUCUUCACGAGGGUCGCGGGCCUGCUGGAGCCUAUCCCAGCUGUCUUCGGGCCAGAGGCGGGGGUACAAGCAAUUAAAGCAGACAGGAACGGGACGUCUGGGCCUACGUGGAACAGCACCAGGACGCCAGGAUCGUAUUAUGCAGCAGGAAGUAGCUCAUGUUGUGGCAGAAGGAGCCGCCGAUGUAGCCGCAGCUCUCAGACAGGCCGCACGACAGGCAGCGGCGGUUGAACGAGCCAAAAGUGUCGGCGCUGAGGACACAAAGGCCAAAAGUUGGACCAAACCGAACCAACCGUACUCGUCUGUUGUACAGCAAAACCAUCAUCACCAACCAUCACUAAGCUGCUCAACAGGAAAGGUUCAAAAAGAACAGAGAGUCGGCGGUUAAGGAUGCUUACCUUCAUACAGCCAAUCACUGAGCCCGUUGAAGAUGACGCCUUCCUUGCCGGAGGACACCAAGCGAAUGGAGCGGCUCUCCACGGUGGAGCGAUAGUAGAUGUUGUUCUCGAAAAUGAAGAUCUACGGAAGGAAAUCAAAGAUUAAAGAGACUUCUGGAGCAGAAAACCAUCCAAGGAGUUUCCUCUCAAUUGAACAACCUUUGUCAUCAUUUGGAGCUGAAGAAAGCGUGCAGUCUUCGUGAUGAACGCCGCUCAUCUAACCCUUGUGGUUCUGCGCCACACUCCGGUACUGAUGGAGUCUCAGUCUUUUCUAGGUCACAGCACAAAGCCGACCCCCUUUCUCAGCGACAACCUCCAUGGGCCCGACCCUUAAUUACCCUCAGCCGUAAUGUGAAUUUGUCACCUCAUACAAUAACAAUGGGACCAAGUUCAUUAAUAUUCAACUUCAUUAGAUGCAUCAGUACGUUGCAGGCCCAGACGCAGGAUGCAUGAUGGGAGAUGAAGACUCCACUGACCUUUAUCCGCCCCUGCCCUUUUGCGACUUCUCGUCAUGUUCACCAAUUUGAUGACUAAUGUCAGCAAACUUUAGGCUGUAUCAAUCCAGCCGGCGUGUUAGUUAGUUAAUCCGCUGACGAGAUAACAGGUAAUUAAUAGCAUUGUGCUGCAGGAUGUAAUCACUUAAGCCGCCAGGCUGAAGCUAAUUACGCCACUGACGGCUUGUUAUGAUGCUUCGUCUUAGAAAUGCAGAAGACCCCUGUAGUUGCAUCCAGGAAAGGUUCUGGGGCAGAUCCUCGAUCACGGUCCAGUAACGACCAUUUAAAAACACCCCUAAAGAGCAUCAGCCCCCCCCCCCAGUCAAUCCUUCGACGCAGAGUCCAUCCCGUCCACUCGUAAAGCGGCCAUGUUUACGAGGCGGCCAGGAAGAUGGUGUAUUUCUCCAGUCUUUUAGUCGGCGUCAUCAAUCCUCCGGAGAUCAAUAGCAAAAGGAGCGGAUCAGUGAAGAAGACACGGCAGGAUGUAAAUAAUGGAGGUCAGGCUUCAGCUCCAAUGUUUGUGCUUGUUCUUAGCUGCCUCGACUCACCAGACACUUCAUUAGGAUUGUGGGGGAUGUCCUCCUUACCAGUUGCUGACCCUCCGGACCCCAGCCGGCGUACUGCAGCUGAGCGUUGCGGACCUCGGGCGGGUUCAG